GGGGGGGGGGGGGGGGGGGGCUGGGGCGGGGGGGUCGGGCGGGCGGGGGGGGAGGUUGGUCGUGUGGCGUUGGCGGCGGGCGGGUGGGUAACGCGUGGGGAACCUACCUAUAGGGCUGGGAUAACUUCGGGAAGCCGGAGCUAAUACCGGGUAAUAUAUUGAACCGCAUGGUUCAAUAGUGAAAGACGGUUUGUCUGUCACUUAUGGGUGGAUCCGCGCAGCAUUAGCUAGUUGGUAAGGUAACGGCUUACCAAGGCAACGCUGCGUAGCCGACCUGAGAGGGUGAUCGGCCACACUGGAACUGAGACACGGUCCAGACUCCUACGGGAGGCAGCAGUAGGGAAUCUUCCGCAAUGGGCGAAAGCCUGACGGAGCAACGCCGCGUGAGUGAUGAAGGUCUUCGGAUCGUAAAACUCUGUUAUUAGGGAAGAACAAAUGUGUAAGUAACUAUGCACGUCUUGACGGUACCUAAUCAGAAAGCCACGGCUAACUACGUG
RNAcentral lists this ribosomal RNA (497 nucleotides) under uncultured bacterium. Its description in RNAcentral is "partial 16S ribosomal RNA". It matches the Rfam family "Bacterial small subunit ribosomal RNA", at positions 35 to 507 of the family's 1533-position model. The record is from RNAcentral.